Molecule: transfer RNA, 73 nt
Filed under: Salmo salar (Atlantic salmon)
Lineage: Eukaryota; Metazoa; Chordata; Actinopteri; Salmoniformes; Salmonidae
Rfam family: tRNA
About the family: Transfer RNA (tRNA) molecules are approximately 80 nucleotides in length. Their secondary structure includes four short double-helical elements and three loops (D, anti-codon, and T loops).
Source: Rfam by way of RNAcentral
GUCCCUGUGGCUCAGUUGGUAGAGCAUGGUAUGUGCAACGCCAGGGUUGUGGGUUCGAUUCCCACGGGGGGCC